AGUCGAACGGCAGCGCGGGGCAACCUGGCGGCGAGUGGCGAGCGGGUGAGUAAUAUAUCGGAACGUACCCAAGAGUGGGGGAUAACGUAGCGAAAGUUACGCUAAUACCGCAUACGAUCUAAGGAUGAAAGCAGGGGAUCUUCGGACCUUGUGCUCCUGGAGCGGCCGAUAUCUGAUUAGCUAGUUGGUGAGGUAAAGGCUCACCAAGGCCACGAUCAGUAGCUGGUCUGAGAGGACGACCAGCCACACUGGAACUGAGACACGGUCCAGACUCCUACGGGAGGCAGCAGUGGGGAAUUUUGGACAAUGGGCGAAAGCCUGAUCCAGCAAUGCCGCGUGAGUGAAGAAGGCCUUCGGGUUGUAAAGCUCUUUUGUCAGGGAAGAAACGGUGAGGGCUAAUAUCCCUCGCUAAUGACGGUACCUGAAGAAUAAGCACCGGCUAACUACGUGCCAGCAGCCGCGGUAAUACGUAGGGUGCAAGCGUUAAUCGGAAUUACUGGGCGUAAAGCGUGCGCAGGCGGUUUUGUAAGUCUGACGUGAAAUCCCCGGGCUCAACCUGGGAAUUGCGUUGGAGACUGCAAGGCUAGAAUCUGGCAGAGGGGGGUAGAAUUCCACGUGUAGCAGUGAAAUGCGUAGAGAUGUGGAGGAACACCGAUGGCGAAGGCAGCCCCCUGGGUCAGGAUUGACGCUCAUGCACGAAAGCGUGGGGAGCAAACAGGAUUAGAUACCCUGGUAGUCCACGCCCUAAACGAUGUCUACUAGUUGUCGGGUUUUAAUUAACUUGGUAACGCAGCUAACGCGUGAAGUAGACCGCCUGGGGAGUACGGUCGCAAGAUUAAAACUCAAAGGAAUUGAC
This 856-nucleotide ribosomal RNA is filed under the name uncultured bacterium. RNAcentral describes it as "bacterial SSU rRNA". It matches the Rfam family "Bacterial small subunit ribosomal RNA", at positions 60 to 914 of the family's 1533-position model. The record is from RNAcentral.